AGUGAACGCUGGCGGUAGGCCUAACACAUGCAAGUCGAACGGCAGCACAGUAAGAGCUUGCUCUUACGGGUGGCGAGUGGCGGACGGGUGAGGAAUACACCGGAAUCUACUUUUUCGUGGGGGAUAACGUAGGGAAACUUACGCUAAUACCGCAUACGACCUACGGGUGAAAGCAGGGGAUCUUCGGACCUUGCGCGAUUGAAUGAGGCGAUGUCGGAUUAGCUAGAUGGCGGGGUAUAGGCGCACCAAGGCGACGAUCCGUAGCUGGUCUGAGAGGAUCAUCCGCCACACUGGCACUGAGACACGGUCCAGACUCCUGGGGUGGGCAGCAGUGGGGACUAUUGCGCGAUGGGGGAAUGCCUGAUCCAGCCAUACCGCGUGGGUGAUGAAGGCCUUCGGGUUGUAGAGCCCUUAUGUUGUGAAGGAAGAGCAGCACUUUAAUCCCCCGCUGUUCUGACGGUACCCGAAGAAUAAGCACCGGCUAACUUCGUG
RNAcentral lists this ribosomal RNA (492 nucleotides) under uncultured bacterium. RNAcentral describes it as "partial 16S ribosomal RNA". It matches the Rfam family "Bacterial small subunit ribosomal RNA", at positions 29 to 507 of the family's 1533-position model. The record is from RNAcentral.